GACGAACGCUGGCGGCGUGGAUUAGGCAUGCAAGUCGAACGGUAUCAUCCUUUCGGGGGUGAGAGAGUGGCGAACUGGUGAGUAACACGUAGGUUAUCUACCCUCAAGACGGGGACAACCCAGGGAAACUUGGGCUAAUACCGGAUGUGAGCAACUUUUAGUUGUUUGAAAGGUGGCGUAAGCUGUCGCUUGGGGAUGAGCCUGCGUCCUAUUAGUUAGUUGGUGAGGUAACGGCUCACCUAGGCAAUGAUAGGUAGGCGGCCUUAACGGGUGGUCGCCCACACUGAGAUUGAGAUACGGCCCAGACUCCUACGGGAGGCAGCAGUCGAGAAUAGUCUACAAUGGUCGGAAGACUGAUAGUGCGACGCCGCGUGAACGAUGAAUCCCUUCGGGGUGUAAAGUUCUUUUAUAUGUGAGCAGUGCUUCUUAUAUUAACAGUAUGGGGAGAGAGAUAUUAGCAUAUGAAUAAGCAACGGCUAACUCCGUGCCAGCAGCCGCGGUAA
This 503-nucleotide ribosomal RNA is filed under the name uncultured bacterium. RNAcentral's name for it is "bacterial SSU rRNA". It matches the Rfam family "Bacterial small subunit ribosomal RNA", at positions 28 to 523 of the family's 1533-position model. The record is from RNAcentral.